UUCUAGCCGCGAUGGAAACGGCAUCCUUUUUUGAUAUUGCGGUUGCAUAAAUCUUCUUCAAAGCAUGUCACUUCGAUCGCAAUGGCAAAAAAGAUACAGUGGACAGCGGGAUGUGUU
RNAcentral lists this small RNA (117 nucleotides) under Kaistella chaponensis. Its description in RNAcentral is "Chryseobacterium chaponense Flavo-1 RNA". It matches the Rfam family "Flavo-1 RNA". Lineage: Bacteria; Pseudomonadati; Bacteroidota; Flavobacteriia; Flavobacteriales; Weeksellaceae. The record is from RNAcentral.